This 305-nucleotide ribosomal RNA is filed under the name uncultured bacterium. RNAcentral describes it as "bacterial SSU rRNA". It matches the Rfam family "Bacterial small subunit ribosomal RNA", at positions 337 to 640 of the family's 1533-position model. The record is from RNAcentral.
ACCUACGGGAGGCAGCAGUGAGGAAUAUUGGUCAAUGGCCGCAGGGCUGAACCAGCCAAGUCGCGUGAGGGAUGACGGUCCUAUGGAUUGUAAACCUCUUUUGUCAGGGAGCAAAGGGCGCCACGUGUGGCGUUUUGCGAGUACCUGAAGAAAAAGCAUCGGCUAACUCCGUGCCAGCAGCCGCGGUAAUACGGAGGAUGCUAGCGUUAUCCGGAUUUAUUGGGUUCAAAGGGUGCGCAGGCGGAAUGUCAAGUCAGCGGUAAAAUUGCGGGGCUCAACCCUGUCGAGCCGUUGAAACUGGCAGA